This is a long non-coding RNA of Capra hircus (goat), 4494 nucleotides long. The record is from Ensembl. Lineage: Eukaryota; Metazoa; Chordata; Mammalia; Artiodactyla; Bovidae.
CCUGGAUGGCGCGGUCCAGCCCGACCGCCGGUCUCCUUGACUCAACCUCCAGCCCCGGAGGGCCGGGCUCAACCUCGGCGGACCGGGUGCUGCCCGCACGGCCCCGGCUGCAUCACCGCCCCGGACUGUGCCGGCGCACGAGGCCGCCCUCCUCGGCGCCCCCGGGUGGGGCAGGUCGAGCCCGGUGCGCUAUCCCUUUAAGCCCGGGCGAGAUGGGAGCUGUCAGCGACAGCAGAGGCUAGCGCGGGACGUCGCCGCCCGCCAGGCCGGAGCGCGGAGCCGCGGAGCGGGAGGAGAGCCGAGGGGGCGGUGGGGCCCGGGCGCGGCGGGUCCCCUCGCCGCCCACUGUGCGCCGGAACCCUGGGCCCGGCGAGUGGCGGGCGGCACCCCAGAGUAAUGCGGAGAAUGUGAGGGCAGCGCAGGCCGGUGGAGAGGAGGCGGCGGCGCGGGAGAGGGCGUCGGCAAGAUAGACGGAGAGGCAGCCGGAGAGACGGAGGACCGGGAUCCGGGCGGGUGCAGGUGGGAGAAGGGAAACGAGACAGAAGGAGAGGCAGCGACAGAAAAGAGGGAAAGAAAGGAGCGGGAGAGCACGCGGCUGCGGGCGGCGGCGCAGGCGAGGAGCAGGGAGCCCGCGCCUCUGGGUGGGAGCACCAGAAGCCGGAGUCGGGCACCGGGGCCGGGGAUCAGGCGGAGAGCACGGCCGCGGCCGGGCCGGCAGGGUGAAGGAGCAGGGACGCCAGAGGGGGCCCCUCUGGGAACACCGGAGGAUCUAAGGCGGGGCCAGCCCGGUAGGACCGCAGGGUCACUCCGCAGGCUCCGCGGGCCGCGCUCCGGGGGCUCCCGGCGGGCCGGGGCCUUUGUGAGCGCCCCAGGAGGGCAAGAGUCGGGAGUGCGGAGCCGGUUGUGCGGCGGCGGGGGUGUGUGCGCGCCCAGGUGUGCGCGUGUGUGCACGAGUGUGAGCGCCCAGGCAGUUGGGAGCGCGCGUUAGGGAUUCUGCUGGCAUCGCAGUGUGGAGAACUGGCGGCAGGAGCGGGGCGCGGAGGGGAGCGCGGGGCCCUCCCGUGCACACGCACACUCACCGCGCGCGCGCGCGCACACACACACACACAUACACACACACACACACUCGCGCACACGCCCUCCCUUCCUCGCUCGUUGCCGCGGCCACCAUCUCAGAGCCGAGCCCUGCGUAGCGGGAACCCGAGCCGGAGCGGGAACCAGAGAGGAGCCCAGCGGGGGAAUGCGGCCCCGGAGCGGAGCUGCGCGCCGACUGCGCGCCCGGGACGCCUCCUGCCCUCACAGGCCCUGAGGCCCCUGAGCCCACAGGCAGAGAGAGAGAUUGCCAGGCCCCCUCCCAGCUACACUCCCUACAAGCCCGCCUGACCUGAGGUGUCCCUCUGAAGAGUCCCUGCGCCUGCUUCCACCCCCUAGAGGUAAGCAGUGGAUGUCUGGGGUGGUGGAUGAGGGGAAGACCAGAGGGUGAAAUGUGUGCGGAGCAGGUUCCAGGGGCCUUGUCUCCCUCUGCUUGGCCCUCUCUGCCGUCUUUUCUUUCUUUCUCCUCUUCCAUCUCCCGGAGCCCCUGUCCUCCUCCAGCCAUGAUCCUGGGGGUGCUUCUGAGUUGCAGAAUGCAGAAGGGGUUUGGGAUCAGCUUUCAGGGAAGAAGAGAGGAGAGUGGUUCCUAGGUCGGAUGGGGUGAGGCUUACUGAUGCUGGGGAGCAGCUGCUGGGGUUUGGGAGCUGCUGGCCUAGGAACCAGUCAGGAGUGGGGCUCGGGGACCCUGGAGGUCCCUCACUGAGCAGGGGGCAGGGCUGUGGGCCUGCCUGUGGGGGACAAGCCAGGGCAUGAGUUAGGCUGUGGGUGCUCUGGGUGGUCGAGCUCAGGCUUUGGGGGCCUGGCUGUGCUCUGCAAUGAAUAAGCAUUUGGAGGACAGUAUUCUGGGGCCUGGAGAAUGCUGUUUGAUGAGGGGCUGCAUGGACAGUCUGGGUAGAGCAGACGCUUUCCCUCCCCUCCCCCCAGUUUCUUGUGUCUCCUCGGACUUCAGCUCCAAGGAGGCUUUGCUGAGUGGAUGAUUUCUAGGAGGGCUCUGGCUCUAAUUUGGCGUCAGGGGCCCCAGGGUGUCUGCUGAGUCAGUCUCGCCUCCAUGCAAGGGAGGGAGCGGAGGAGUGUGAAGGGGGGGAGGUGGCACCAUCCCCCACAGACCUUUCACAGCAAUAGCAGCAGCCAGUGGGGAGCAGUGGGGGACUUGAGGGUAGGGUUCCCUGGUCCUCUACCCUCAUCUGACAGUCUAGCCUUGCUGCACGCACAGGGUGGGGGUUCACUGGGAUAACCAUUUGGAAUCCUGGCUCCCCCCCUUGUCUCUGUUACUCUUCUGCAUUUCCCCAUCUGUGUAAGGGGCCCCCCACAGUGCAUCCUUCAGGGCAUUGUGUUGUAUAGAGAAGGCUUGCUACAGAGUCUAGAACACAGCUGAUGCUCAGGAAAUGUUAAAAGGCACAUCAGUUAUUCUUGCCUCUAGGACUGAGUUCUGUGAGCACAGAGCCUAGGGUCAGGCAAGGGGUGGGUCUGGUUAUUGGAAAGAGUCUGCAGGACUCUGGGGAACAGAGGAGAACUCGGACACCCCUGCAAAGGCCAGCGCAGACUUUCUGCCGUUCUUGCGAGGAAAAACUCUGCCCAGUGAACCCAGUCCAGGGAGACUGCCUGGAGGAGGGGUGUUAAUUGUUAUUAAUUUGCCAUGAUUGGCCACCUCUUUCAAGUCUACAAGAAACAUUUUUCACACUUUAAUUAGCUCAUUAAUCUUAACAACAACUUGUGAGCAGGAGCAGUUUGUUCCCUUCCUAGAGGUGGAAAUGCCAAGGUGGGGAGGUGGGGACAGGGCCCUGUUGGCCAAAGUAGGAUCUGGCUCAGGUUCUCUCUCCAAGUUCUACAGUCUGCACAUCACCCCCAACUACUCCACACACUGCCUCCCAGUUUGGGGCCUCCCAAGGGGAGAGGAAUGGUUGGAGGCCACACUCUCAGCCACCAUGCCUCCUGGCCAGGUCCCCAGGAGCUGGGGUCUGCCCUCCAGAGAAGCCAUGACAUGUUGGUGUGGGAGCUGAACUCCCGUCUGGAACAGGGGGCCACAGUCAGCAGCGCUGCACAAUGAAGCCACUUGACUGGUCUCUUGGGCUCCCUCUCUGGGGCACACCCCUCUUUCCUCUCCUCUGUGUCUGCACACUAAGCCUCUCUGCUUAGAGUGUGCCCCUCUUAGAAGCUACCCCACAAGUCCCUGCCCUUAGCUGCUCUCUGCAGUUCGCCAUCCCCCGGGUGGCUGAGUGGGCUCCAGCUUGAGUGAGAGCAAGCCAGGCGCUUGUUUCAGACAUGGGCUUCAGCUACAGGGAUGCUGCUUAGGGGUAGAAUCGGGAAGGGGCAGGUUCAGACCCGCGGGGCUGACUGCAGAAGUCUGAAGGGAUGUCAUCGGCACACCUGGAACUGGCAUCUGAUGCCGGUUGACUAUUUAUGACCCGUGGCAUGGCCUGAGGAAUCUUUGGAAGAGAAGAAACCUGUGCUGGAACAGUGCCCACAUGGGGGGGCGGGGCACGGGGAGCCUGGCAGGGAGGCAUUAUGCAAAUCUGGGAGCCACGGUUACAGCAGCAUCUGUCCAGGGGCAGAAGGGGGAGCCGCGGGUCACACCCGGGCACGGGCUCCAUCUGCACUCAAGGCUGGGCACGGGUGGUGGCCAGCCUCAGUCAGUGCUCUGCCCCACGUGAAGCCACAUGUGGGCAUCUGAGGGGACCAGAAAGGUGAGGGCUGCUCCAGAAGGGGCCUGGGUCCCCCCAGCAGAGCCCAGGAGGCCUAGGGAAAGGCUCUGGCCUGGACAGGUGGGCUUGCCAUACACCCACCCCAUCUCCAUCACACCUGCCAUUAUUCACCGGCUUGGCUUUUGGUGUGGGUCUGAGAUGUGGACCCAAGCUGUGACUGCCCUCAUUUCUAAAACAGGGGACUGAUGGGGCUGGGUGUCAGGCCUGUGCCCUAAUUGACAUCCUAUUCCUGGGGAUGUAAUUUUCAGCUUUCAGAAGUCAGAUUGUCUCUGUUUCCUUCGUUUUCACCUCUGUUAGUUCAGCACAGAAGGGAGACCCCAUGGCCCUCUCCCCUCUCCCCACCAGGCCUUCAGUCGUGGGCAUUUCUACAGUGCUUGGGGAUAAACUUAGCAGAAAAGUAUAGAGUUAAGAGCCCACGUUCGAAGCCAGAUCAUCUGGGUUCAUAGUGUCACUAUUUGUGAGCUGUGUGACUUUGAGCAAGUUUCCUAGUUUCUCUGUUCUUCAGUUUCCUCAUCUGUACCACGGGCGCAACAGCCACUUCCUCGUGGGUAUGUUGGAUAAGAUGGUGCGUGAGAAGCUUUUAAACAUGGCCUGGCACGUGGCAAGGGCCCCGUCCAUGGAGCUACUGGGAUUGCCAGGAUUGAUGGCUGGUAACUCUUAUGGGCGGGUGGGCAGCUGAGUCAGCUGCGGCUGAAGCCAG